Molecule: ribosomal RNA, 904 nt
Filed under: uncultured bacterium
Lineage: Bacteria
Description: bacterial SSU rRNA
Rfam family: Bacterial small subunit ribosomal RNA
Source: RNAcentral
AGAGUUUGAUCCUGGCUCAGGACGAACGCUUGCGGCGUGCCUGAGAAAUGCAAGUCGAGCGGGGUGUAGCAAUACACCUAGCGGCGAACGGUCGAGUAACACGUAAGCAACCUGCCCUGCAGUGGGGGAUAACAGCGGGAAACUGCUGCUAAUACCGCAUAGGCAUAUUUCUGGGCAUCCAGGGAUGUGUAAAGGCUAGACUGCUGCAGGAGGGGCUUGCGGCCUAUUAGCUAGUCGGUGGGGUAACGGCCUACCGAGGCGACGAUGGGUAGCUGGUCUGAGAGGAUGGUCAGCCGGAUCGGGACUGAGACACGGCCCGGACUCCUACGGGGGGCAGCAAUCAGGAAUAUUGCGCAAUGGGGGAAACCCUGACGCAGCGACGCCGCGUGCGGGAUGAAGGCCUUCGGGUCGUAAACCGCUGUUGUGGGAGACGAAUGACUGUCGAUGAGGCAGUGGAGACGGUAUCUCACGAGGAAGCCCCGGCUAACUACGUGCCAGCAGCCGCGGUAAUACGUAGGGGGCGAGCGUUGUCCGAAGUUACUGGGCGUAAAGCGCGCGUAGGCGGCUCUUUAAGUGACUGGUGAAAUCCCCGGGCUCAACCCGGGGUAGUCUGGUCAUACUGGGGAGCUAGAGUGUGGGAGGGGAGAGCGGAACUCCUGGUGUAGCGGUGAUAUGCGUAGAGAUCAGGAAGAACACCCGUGGCGAAGGCGGCUCUCUGGACCAUAACUGACGCUGAGGUGCGAAAGCCAGGGGAGCGAACGGGAUUAGAUACCCCGGUAGUCCUGGCCCUAAACGAUGGAUACUAGGUGUGGCGGGUAUCGACCCCUGCCGCGCCGCAGCUAACGCAAUAAGUAUCCCGCCUGGGGAGUACGGCCGCAAGGUUGAAACUCAAAUGAAUUGACGG